Molecule: long non-coding RNA, 1191 nt
Organism: Octopus bimaculoides (California two-spot octopus)
Lineage: Eukaryota; Metazoa; Mollusca; Cephalopoda; Octopoda; Octopodidae
Source: RefSeq, a predicted model, not a curated record
CAUACAUGCAUACAUAUAUAAGCUCCUAACGAUAAUACCGAAGCAGCCAAGCAUUCAAGAAUAAACUCCGGUUAUCAUACAUAGAUAUGUUACAAGAGGAGGGACUUCAUAACAGGUUAUUGUUCUACUUCUAGUAAUCUCGAACUUUUGUGGCAUUUUAUGCUUUGUACCUCUUCUAGAAACGAUUAUUAUGUAUAUAUAAGGUGGCGGGUUGGCAGAAACUUUAACACGCUCAACAAAAUGCUUAGUGAUAUUUCGUUGGGUUUUACGAAUUGUGUUCAAAUUGCGCCGAGGUCGACUUUACUGUUCAUCCCUUCGAGGAAUUUCUAAAUUUAAGAAAUUGAUCAGAUGAAUCUAGACUUCACACUAAUAGAUUUUGGGACAAAUAUCAUUAGAAAAAAGUAAAAAAAAAAAAGAAAGCCUGAACACCAAAAAUUCUGUUCUCUUUAACAUCAACAUUCAGAACAACUUACUAGAUUAAUCGGCACAACUUACCCUCAGGACAAAUCUGAUUGAACAGAUCCAUCUACAGUCAAAGAGGUUCCAACUACUCCCACACUGUAUUUCAUUCAAACAGUGAAUUCAAGACUUCAUUAGCGAUGUGUCUUACCUGUUUUGAGAAGGUAGAGAGUUUGUUGUGAUUUGAAUUUUGGUGCUAUUUCUUGCAGUGACGUGACUAGUGACGCCCUCUUUGUUUUGUUACUAGUUUAGUAUGUUGGUCAUUUUUGGUUUCUGUUGUUCAAUUGGAUUUUAAUUCAUUGUGGUGGCCCGACCAAGUCUAUUAUAUCAACUACAGAGAUACAACGCAUUGCUGUGUGGUUUAGAAACUCACUUUGUAACCACGUGGUUUCAUUUACAGUCCCAGAGCGCAACACCAUGCGCAUCUGUCUUCUACUAUAACCAUGGGCGAACCAACGUCUUGUUAAGGAAUUUCGCUGACGGGAACUGCAUUUGAACUCAGAACCUAGAAGAGUCGGAGCAAAUACGGCAAAACACUUAAAACGAAUCAUAAGAUACGUCAUUUACCGAUACCCGAACGACUAAAGUUAACUUCGAUUGGACUUGAACACAUUGAGACGGAGCGACUAUCGAACAUAUACAGACAUUCUAACAAACUCUGCCAACGCAUCUCCUUAUUACGCUACAUCAUUAUUAAGCCCAAGUUAAAUAAACUCAUCCUUACUCUCUGAA